Molecule: ribosomal RNA, 253 nt
Filed under: uncultured bacterium
Lineage: Bacteria
Description: partial 16S ribosomal RNA
Rfam family: Bacterial small subunit ribosomal RNA
Source: RNAcentral
UACGUAGGGGGCAAGCGUUGUCCGGAAUUAUUGGGCGUAAAGAGCGUGUAGGCGGUCCGGUAAGUCAGCUGUGAAAGUCAAGGGCUCAACCCUUGAAAGCCGGUUGAUACUGUCGGGCUAGAGUCCGGAAGAGGCGAGUGGAAUUCCCGGUGUAGCGGUGAAAUGCGCAGAUAUCGGGAGGAACACCAAUGGCGAAGGCAGCUCGCUGGGACGGUACUGACGCUGAGGCACGAAAGCGUGGGGAGCAAACAGG